This is a long non-coding RNA of Sardina pilchardus (European sardine), 2263 nucleotides long. RefSeq lists it as uncharacterized. The record is from RefSeq and is a predicted model, not a curated record. The transcript is spliced from 5 exons. NCBI's taxonomy places the organism in Eukaryota, Metazoa, Chordata, Actinopteri, Clupeiformes, Clupeidae.
GCCUUCAAGGUUAUAUUUCUCUUCUGACUAUUUCAGAUUAACCUUUGUUUGGGGUGACUUAAGGAGGUGUACUUCAUACAAUCAAGACCUCCUUCAUUGAGUAUCAUAUUAUACAAAAAAAAGACCCAGGGAAGAUAGACUGCUACUUUCAUUGUCGCUGAUUUGUACAAUUUAUUGUCAGGUUGGAGGGCUGUGAAGAUCAUCUUUGUGUGUGAUUCAGGUCUCUGUCAUUCCCUGCUGGUACAGCCAUAGCAACAUCAUGGGAGUUCUCCUUUACUCUUACACUCUGACCCUGCAAAAUGUUCCCUAAGCACUUCAAUCCACACGUCGAUGACCCUUGUCAACUGCCAGAUUUUUUUUUGUUUUUUUUUUACUUGUAGCCUAUAUAACAGCUUCAAAGUCCCUCUGUUGGUAAACUUGAAAUAUGAGAAUCACCUGCAUUUUGGAGCUGCAGCAUUCUAUGGAGUAUUGCAACUUUUUCUCUCCCGACCCGUUGCAGUUCAAGGAAGAAGGACAACACAGUAUAGAGAAAAUCCAGAAAAUAUAAUGUGGAUGGUACGGACGACAUAAAACAAGUUUUUUGGCAAGACAAGAGGGCUGUACCUGGAGCACAUGUUGCACAUGAUGACAAAACCUCUUCAGUUAGUCAUGCACAUCAGCUUGCAUCACAUAAGCAUAUAAGGCCAUUUGACAUUCAUGCAUCAUUUGUCAGUCUAUUUAUUUUCUGUUUAUUUCCUUUGUUCAUAUAUUAACAGACUGUACUGUAGCUUACACACUGUACAGUCAUUUGAGUCAGAAGACUAAGCAUUUCACUUCAUAUCUCUUAUCAAAAAGUCCUACACUCUCAAAAAUAGGGGUACUGUUGGGGUACAUUUUCGUUCUUUCAAGUACAAUUUUGACCCUGUACCUUGUAUUGGUACUAAUAGGUACCAUUUCGGGUACAUAAAUAAUGUACCUUUUCACCAAGGGACCAUAUUGUACCUAUGGGUACAAAAAGCCCAUGGACUGUCACUCAGAAGUUGAUAGGGGAGGAGAUUCGGGAGCAACCGUUAUUUUUUCGUCUCACUCCAAGUAAUGGAGGAGCAGUUUUCAGCAGAGGAGCUUGGUGUGGGGAAACGUGCUGUGGUGCUGGCAUCAUCUUUAUGGAACAGGAGGCAACGCUAUUCAGAGAUAACCACCAAGGCAGAAUGUUGGCGUGUGGAAGUACCUCUACUCAGAGUGAUAGAGAAAACUAUGGCUCUGCUUUUACUGAAGGAAUGGCUACCGGAGCGGGCAGCUUUAUGAAUAUAAGGUGAAAAGGAUGUAUGGAGAAGUUUUGGGAGAGUCAGACAGUCCACGGAACUUGCAAUGACUUAGCAAUGAUCUAUGCCAGACGUACAACCCCUGCUGUCAUUGGUGAUACCACUGCUUGAAAAUAUGUCAACGUCCUGUAGAUCAAGUAAGGUUCCAGUCGAAGUCCUCCUGAAGAAUUUGUUGGAUUUCUGCCAGUUUUUGAUAUUGAACUUUAGUGCCUUUUGAGACUCUUGGCUUUUUAAUGGCACGCCUCAUUCUACCCAAAUGGAAGGAUUGGAGUGUGUUUAUAUUGUAUAUGUUUAUAGGCUUGCUAAUAUUUGCUUAGGCUUUCACAUUGUUUUCUGAGAUACUACUCAAUGAUGUCAUUGUGACUCAUUGUAUCACACUUCAAGACGCGUAUCUUUUACUCAAUUAGUGUAUGCACUGUGAAUCCAAACAUGAGAAUUCUAAGAUUAUAGCAACUGCAAAGUUACUGCAAGGACAAUGUUAGUUUUGUAAAAACCUUAAGUGACAAGCACAAGAUGCGAUAGUGCUGGGAGCUUUUCUCUUGUAACAUUUUAAUGCAUUUGUAAUGGUGACGGUAAGCAGAUACUACAUUUUCAUCUCAUAUGUUAGUAUUAACAUGAGCUUAAAAGCAUGCAAGGUUUUUUUGUGUGAAGUGGUUAACUCAAAUAUUGGUAUAAUAUAGAUCAAGGUUAUUAAUGUUGAUCACCUAUGGUGCAAGUUAAUCAUUUUUUUCCCUCUGCAUAUAAACACAAUGUGGAAGCAAAAUAUUGGAGAUCAAACUGUUUUAUAUUUACACUUACAUAAAGAGUUACAACAUGUUUUACGUUAAUAUGCAUAUUGAUUAAUGUAAGAUACUUUGAUGUUUUGAUAUGAAUGUGUUAACUUUUAUGUACCUGUAUUCAUGUGGAGUAUUGUGUGUAAUAUCACAAAGUGAUUUUUCUCUCAGAAUAAACAUUUUAAUUUA